UAAUAACCUUAAUUGAAAGAUGGCAACAUUUGAAUUGAAUAAUCUAUUAGACUCUUCAAGUCUUAUCUGUAUAUUUUUGUAUUUUAAAGCUUCAUCACAUUUUGGUAACAUUUAGAACAACAUCUCUAUGAGAUACUACUUUUAACUCAUUAAAAUAUGAGUUACUACUCUAUGCGUAGAACAUCUCUUAAUGCGUAAAACUUUGGUUUAAUUUCUCUUUUCCUUGCCUUCCUGCUUCGACGUGAUUCAAAGGUCCCUCCCGUCCAAUUUCUAGCUUCCUUCUUUGCUUCUUUGGAGUUAAAGAGUGUAUCAAGAAGCCAUAUGUUACAAACGAAUACUCCCCUACUUCGAUUCGUCGUUACGUGUUGUCGCAAUUGACGUGUGUUGAAAGGAUUGUCAAGAGAAUUGGCUCAGGUAUGUUAAGACUAAGUUUUUCCUUCAUUUUAGCAUGAUCGCGUCAUUACACAAGUUUGAUAACGAGCCAUAAAAAAAAAUUCAUAUCCCAGAAUUUACGUAUAUUUUGCUAGUCUCACAAGUUUCUUUCAACGUAGUUAAAAGUGUUUGUUAUCUGAAUUGGUCCAUAACUUUUGCACGUUUGAAACAUAUGUAUGAUUCAAUUAUUUUCUAAGUCUCAAUGACACGUUUAGACAGUUUAGCUAGGCGGUAUCAAUCGGCUUAUGUUCUUUUAGAAGAAAUUGAUUCAUUUCCUGUAGUCAAACAAAAAAUAUUAACUGAUCCCACACUACACACACAACCCAUAUAUAAGAAGUCCUUAGGCCUACUGAUUAAGUCGUCCAAGAUCCACUUGCUAUUCAUGAGCUGAAGAGUUAGCUUUGGAUUAUUUGAGAAAAAAAAUGAUUUGAUAACUAACUUCUUGUUCAUUUUGGCAUGUGUUUUUUUUUGAUAUUUUGAGUAUUUUCUUCUACCAGUCAAGAGAGCAGAGAAUUUAUAUAUACAGUAUUAAUGUAUUUUUACUACCAUCGAGCUAUAAUCGAUGGGCAGGUCCUUAUUGAGCAACCUCUGAUCAGAUGGUAAGUUAUAUACCGAGCCUGCUGUGGCCGAGCGCUUAUGAGCAAGUCCAGUUGGUCGAGAUACAGAGCCUAGUACGGCCGAGCGCCUAUGAGCGAGCCUACUACAGCAGAACAUAUAUAUAUAUAUAUAUAUAUAUACCAAGCCUUAUAGGGCCGGACAGCUAUUUUACUCACUAUAUUGAGAGAGUUGAGUCAAUAUCAACUGACGAGCAUAUCCUCAGAUUAUCUUUGAUCCCCAGUUGCUUUCAGUUAUUAUAUUAUCAGUUCAGUUUCAGCUUCAGUAUAUUGUCUUACAUACUCGGUACAUUAUUUGUACUAACGUCCCUUUCUGGGGGGGCUGUAUUUCAUGCGUGCAGGUUCAGACAACAGACGGGUAGACCUCCCUAGUAGGUAUUUGCCCGAGUUCAGCUUUAUCGGUAAGCUCCCCGUCCUACGGAGUUGCCGGGUCUAGAAGUUUUGGUGUGCAUCUUGUGUAUAUAUGUAGAUAGGAUAUGGGUAGGCCGGGGCCCUGUUCCGAUUACAGUACAUCUAUCAGUAGAGGCUUGUAGACAUAUCCUGUUAGUUAGUGCAGUAUGUUGGGCCUGUAGGCCCUGUAUGUAGAUUUUGUUGUCUUGUCAGUAGUAGUAAUUAUGACGGCCUUGCCAGUCCAACCUUAUGUUGACAUUUAGUCAGUGUUAGUCUCUAUUCAAUUUUAUAGUUUGCAUCGCAUGUUAUCUUGUAAUGUGGCCCAUGGCCAAAGUAUGACAUUACAUGUUCAGAGACUCUUAGUCGCAAGUGAUACGUAAGGAUAAGUGAGGCACUGAGUGCCGAUCUCGCCCCUAGGCUUGGGGCGUGACACUUGAUUUCUUCAUCAAAUUCCUUUUUCGUAUGCAACGUCCCCAUAUUCUUUGAUGGCUUGGGAAAGCGAAAUCAAAUCAUUAAUCAUAAUAGUUAAUUGUUUGGAUUAGGUAUUAUUGAAAUCAUAAUAGUUAAUUCUUGUUGACUUGCCUUCAGAAUCAAUACCUCUAUUCAAUCACAUAAUGGAUCCUAAUCAACAAUCAUCCCAAGUGACCC
Molecule: long non-coding RNA, 2084 nt
Filed under: Nicotiana tabacum (common tobacco)
Lineage: Eukaryota; Viridiplantae; Streptophyta; Magnoliopsida; Solanales; Solanaceae
Description: long non-coding RNA (NTAB_LNC012936)
Source: RNAcentral